CAAACUUUCUUCUUCUUCUUCAACAAUCGAGCUCUGCUUCUGGCUUUUCUCCUAGUCCAAUUCCCAUUUAAUCUUCAUCAUCUCCACCACAGCCCUCGCCGACUCCAUCACCACAACCCGUCGCCGAUUCACCUUCACCCAAAACUCUAUCUCUGAUUUCCCUUCCUCCAUCUCUGUCGGACGCUCCAAUGAACGCACCAUCCUUCUUCAUCUUCGACACUACCGCAAUCAUCUCCGUCGGCCAACGACACACCUCCAAUUCCUUCUCUAGCCUCGUCGAAUCCGAGCGAUGUCAACCACAGCAACCUCAAUGCAGACGGAGACGGAACGAAGAAUUCCUCUGGAGGAAUGAGUCUGGCAAAGAAGGCAGGGAUCGUACUUGGAUUGAUCGUUGGAUAAAAUUCAUAGAUCUCAGUAUGGAUACGCCGCCAAGAGAGAGAUUCUGAAGAACUACUCAGGCUCUCAUACACAAAAGCUCUUAAAGGGAAAGUCCAUCAGAAUGAUGGGAGUGUCUGAACAUGAGGUUGAUGAAGUUUUACAACAUGCAAAGUCAAACUUAAGGAUAGCUGGAUUUGAUGAAGAGGAAAUGAGAUUGAGGCAGCGAAUGUCAUACAGGCCUCAUACUCUGAAACUUCCCAAGGACCUUAUAUAUUUUGUGAUUUCCGAACAUUUCAACUUCCAGGAAUUGAGUUGAACCCUCCGGUGUCAGAGGCAUUGAAAAGAAUGCACAUGCUUGCUGCAGAUCCUGGAAUUAUUUCUGUCAUGAACAAGCAUAGUUGGCGUGUGGGAAUCAUGACUGAGAUGGCCCCUGUUGGUUAUGUUGGCAUAAGUCCCAAAUGCAUCCUCAGCUUUAAUAAGAACCACGAGGAGGAGAUAUCUCUGCGCCUUCGAACUAAUGACCUUAAGGGUUUCAGGAAAUAUGAAAGUAUCAUGCCCGUGUAGUUUUUUAA
Prunus avium (sweet cherry) is the source of this 950-nucleotide non-coding RNA. The record is from RefSeq and is a predicted model, not a curated record. NCBI's taxonomy places the organism in Eukaryota, Viridiplantae, Streptophyta, Magnoliopsida, Rosales, Rosaceae.